Molecule: long non-coding RNA, 920 nt
Organism: Vicia villosa (hairy vetch)
Lineage: Eukaryota; Viridiplantae; Streptophyta; Magnoliopsida; Fabales; Fabaceae
Exons: 4
Source: RefSeq, a predicted model, not a curated record
CAGGCAAAUCCAGUUUAGUAUCAAUUACUCAGAUUAAAUGUUAAUCAGUCACAUUAAUAAAAUAAAUUAAAAGAGGGCUAGGGUUUGUUUUAAUGUGGCCAUUGGGAUUCUUAUCACUCAAACUAAACUCCUUCUCUCUCGUUCUUCUCAACUCCUUCUCUCGUCUCAUUCACCACCGUCGGAGAUCGCUCCGCCGCGCCGGGGGCGGCGGAGCUUGACCAAAUCUGAAAAUCCGGACAUCAUUACAAUCCUCUCUUUAUCCUCUACCAGAAUCUCACUUCGAUUUCGCCUGAAAGAGGCUCUAUCACCCUAAAUCAAAAAAAGGAUUACGAACCCUAGCGGGCAUAAACAAGACGAAAAUCCGAUCCAAACACACAAAGGUUCAUACAAAUAGGAUUCAUACGACCGCUUACAAGCAAGAAUCAACGACUAUUGAGUGAAGGCAUCGAGAGUAGAAGGAUUCAGGUUUACCUGGAGUGGUACAAGCGUGAUGAAACAGAAGACCAGAGAGGAGAUAAUAACUAGCGUCCAGGGAGCUUGGUUUGAACUUGAAAAUUGCAACGCUGGUAUGUGAAGCUUCAAGUAGAAGGAAAUGGAUAUGGAAGCUGCAGGGCUGCUUUUGAUUUCUCCUGGAAAGGGCUUUGGUUUUGACGUGCCGGUUUUGAUUUGAAGGAUUAUUUUCGUGAUUGGUUGAUGUAAUUGAAGCCUAGCAUCAUGUGGAAUUUGAAGAAUGAUCAUGAGGUCCUGGAGUUGGUGCGGUGAAAGCUUAAAACAACUUUAGGAAUAUGUCCAUUGUAGCUUGCUUGACAUUUAUAUGGCUCUCUGUGUAAUUUUCUAUGUGGUGUAAUACAUGAAACAAUCUGAAAGUGUAAUGGCAUUUAAACUUGUCUUGAAAAUGUAAUGACUUCUUUAAAUUUGAA